UACGUAGGGGGCUAGCGUUGUCCGGAAUCAUUGGGCGUAAAGCGCGCGUAGGCGGCCCUGUUAGUCCGCUGUAAAAGUCAAAGGCUCAACCUUUGAAUGCCGGUGGAUACUGCAGGGCUAGAGUCCGGAAGAGGAGAGUGGAAUUCCUGGUGUAGCGGUGAAAUGCGCAGAUAUCAGGAAGAACACCCGUGGCUAAGGCGGUUCUCUAGUACGGUACUGACGCUGAGACGCGAAAGCGUGGGGAGCGAACGG
This 252-nucleotide ribosomal RNA is filed under the name uncultured bacterium. Its description in RNAcentral is "partial 16S ribosomal RNA". It matches the Rfam family "Bacterial small subunit ribosomal RNA", at positions 524 to 775 of the family's 1533-position model. The record is from RNAcentral.